GUUAGGAAUAUUGGACAAUGGGCGCAAGCCUGAUCCAGCCAUGCCGCGUGAGUGAUGAAGGCCUUCGGGUUGUAAAGCUCUUUAGUCCACGAAUAUAAUGACUGUAGUGGAAGAAUAAGCCCCGGCUAACUUCGUGCCAGCAGCCGCGGUAAUACGAAGGGGGCGAGCGUUAUUCGGAAUCACUGGGCGUAAAGCGUGCGUAGGCUGUUUUGUAAGUCAGAAGUGAAAGCCCAGGGCUUAACCCUGGAAUUGCUUUUGAAACUACAAGACUCGAAUUCGGGAGAGGAUAGCGGAAUUGUCAGUGUAGCAGUGAAAUGCGUAGAUAUUGACAGGAACACCAGUGGCGCAAGCGGCUAUCUGGACCGAUAUUGACGCUGAGGCACGAAAGCGUGGGGAUCAAACAGGAUUAGAAACCCCGGUAGUCC
This 425-nucleotide ribosomal RNA is filed under the name uncultured bacterium. Its description in RNAcentral is "partial 16S ribosomal RNA". It matches the Rfam family "Bacterial small subunit ribosomal RNA", at positions 354 to 796 of the family's 1533-position model. The record is from RNAcentral.